UGCAGUCGAGCGGAUGAGAGGAGCUUGCUCCUCGAUUCAGCGGCGGACGGGUGAGUAAUGCCUAGGAAUCUGCCUAGUAGUGGGGGACAACGUUUCGAAAGGAACGCUAAUACCGCAUACGUCCUACGGGAGAAAGUGGGGGAUCUUCGGACCUCACGCUAUUAGAUGAGCCUAGGUCGGAUUAGCUAGUUGGUAGGGUAAAGGCCUACCAAGGCGACGAUCCGUAACUGGUCUGAGAGGAUGAUCAGUCACACUGGAACUGAGACACGGUCCAGACUCCUACGGGAGGCAGCAGUGGGGAAUAUUGGACAAUGGGCGAAAGCCUGAUCCAGCCAUGCCGCGUGUGUGAAGAAGGCCCUCGGGUCGUAAAGCACUUUAAGUUGGGAGGAAGGGCUUACAGCGAAUACCUGUGAGUUUUGACGUUACCGACAGAAUAAGCACCGGCUAACUUCGUGCCAGCAGCCGCGGUAAUA
This 473-nucleotide ribosomal RNA is filed under the name uncultured Pseudomonas sp. RNAcentral describes it as "bacterial SSU rRNA". It matches the Rfam family "Bacterial small subunit ribosomal RNA", at positions 56 to 525 of the family's 1533-position model. Lineage: Bacteria; Pseudomonadati; Pseudomonadota; Gammaproteobacteria; Pseudomonadales; Pseudomonadaceae. The record is from RNAcentral.